UACGUAGGUGGCGAGCGUUGUCCGGAAUUACUGGGCGUAAAGGGUGCGUAGGUGGUUUCUUAAGUCAGAGGUGAAAGGCUACGGCUCAACCGUAGUAAGCCUUUGAAACUGGGAAACUUGAGUGCAGGAGAGGAGAGUGGAAUUCCUAGUGUAGCGGUGAAAUGCGUAGAUAUUAGGAGGAACACCAGUGGCGAAGGCGGCUUUCUGGCCAGUUACUGACGCUCAUGCGCGAAAGCUGGGGUAGCGAACCGGAUUAGAUACCCCGGUAGUCCCUGAGCGGGCU
This 283-nucleotide ribosomal RNA is filed under the name uncultured prokaryote. Its description in RNAcentral is "partial 16S ribosomal RNA". It matches the Rfam family "Bacterial small subunit ribosomal RNA", at positions 524 to 805 of the family's 1533-position model. The record is from RNAcentral.